AACGAACGCUGGCGGCAUGCCUAACACAUGCAAGUCGAACGAGACCUUCGGGUCUAGUGGCGCACGGGUGCGUAACGCGUGGGAACCUGCCCUUAGGUUCGGAAUAACUCCCCGAAAGGGGUGCUAAUACCGGAUAAUGUCUUCGGACCAAAGAUUUAUCGCCUUUGGAUGGGCCCGCGUUGGAUUAGCUGGUUGGUAGGGUAAAAGCCUACCAAGGCGACGAUCCAUAGCUGGUCUGAGAGGAUGCUCAGCCACACUGGGACUGAGACACGGCCCAGACUCCUACGGGAGGCAGCAGUAGGGAAUAUUGGACAAUGGGCGAAAGCCUGAUCCAGCCAUGCCGCGUGAGUGAUGAAGGCCUUAGGGUUGUAAAGCUCUUUUACCCGGGAUGAUAAUGACAGUACCGGGAGAAUAAGCUCCGGCUAACUCCGUG
RNAcentral lists this ribosomal RNA (433 nucleotides) under uncultured bacterium. Its description in RNAcentral is "partial 16S ribosomal RNA". It matches the Rfam family "Bacterial small subunit ribosomal RNA", at positions 29 to 507 of the family's 1533-position model. The record is from RNAcentral.